This is a non-coding RNA of Ciona intestinalis (vase tunicate), 258 nucleotides long. The record is from RefSeq and is a predicted model, not a curated record. Lineage: Eukaryota; Metazoa; Chordata; Ascidiacea; Phlebobranchia; Cionidae.
UUUUCGUUUUUAUUUUCAUUUUCCGGCGAAAAAAUCCGCGGAGAUAAAUUGGCAAAAACAUGCGUCGGCUCAAAUACGUGUUUACUAUUACCCUUCAUUUCUCUUCUUCAUAUAGAAGCCCCAGGGCCUCGUGUUUUAAUUCAGCGUUGAUUAAAAGAGAUUUUCCCGUACAAGAAAAAACAUGUAUUACAAGUGACUGUACCGCAAUAUCAACAAGCCUUAUAAAAAUAUUUACACAACUUAAACGAACCUGUGACG